AAACCGUUCAGGGGUAAACCUGAGAAACCCAAAAGAUCGAUCGGGGAGAUUCACCGUCAGCGAGGCUGGCUUCGCGGUGGUUCGCGAUGUCCGGCGCCACGGCGCCGCGACACGCGUCCGCCGUGUCAAUGCCCAGUCGCGUCGGCGUGCACUUCUCCCCUAGUAGGACGUCGCGACCCGUCGAGUGUCGGCCUAAGGCACGGGAGCGAGCCUGUCACGUUGCGCCUCGCGGCGCACGGGGCAGAACCCCGUUGUCCCGACCGGCUGCUCGGCGGUACACGCACGGUAUCGGGCCGCAGACUCGUAGAGACUGCGUCCAGCCCGUCGCAAGCGACGGUCAGUGUAUACCCGGAGUGAACGGACCCGGUGCCGUCCCCGGGCCUGGCCCGCUGUUGGUCGACGGUGUCCUCGGACCGGCCAAGAACGCAAUACCGGUCGGCGACGCUACUGCUUUGGGUACUUUCAGGAC
This 469-nucleotide ribosomal RNA is filed under the name Gasteruption sp. BP89. RNAcentral describes it as "partial large subunit ribosomal RNA". Lineage: Eukaryota; Metazoa; Arthropoda; Insecta; Hymenoptera; Gasteruptiidae. The record is from RNAcentral.